AAGUCGUAACAAGGUUUCCGUAGGUGAACCUGCGGAAGGAUCAUUAUCAAUGAGAAAAACUCAAACACUAGUGAACAUUAAAGAACUGUCUUUGGGGACACCUUUGAUUAGGUUGGUCCCCAACAAAACAACACAACCUUACAACUUGAAGCAGAGUCAAUAUUAUUAAAUUAAUAAAGACAACUUUUAGCAACGGAUCUCUAGGUUCUC
Molecule: unclassified non-coding RNA, 210 nt
Filed under: fungal sp.
Lineage: Eukaryota; Fungi
Also listed under: 1 other name
Description: partial internal transcribed spacer region
Rfam family: Eukaryotic small subunit ribosomal RNA (bases 1-46)
Source: RNAcentral